This 250-nucleotide ribosomal RNA is filed under the name uncultured bacterium. RNAcentral's name for it is "partial 16S ribosomal RNA". It matches the Rfam family "Bacterial small subunit ribosomal RNA", at positions 524 to 773 of the family's 1533-position model. The record is from RNAcentral.
UACGAGAGGCCCAAACGUUAUUCGGAAUUACUGGGCUUAAAGAGUCCGUAGGCGGCGCGGAAAGUGGGGUGUGAAAGCCCUCGGCUCAACCGAGGAAUUGCGCUCCAAACUACCGUGCUUGAGGAACCUAGAGGUGAGCAGAACUGAUGGUGGAGCGGUGAAAUGCGUUGAUAUCAUCAGGAAUACCGGAGGCGAAGGCGGCUCACUGGGGGUUUUCUGACGCUGAGGGACGAAAGCCAGGGUAGCGAAC